Long non-coding RNA from Alligator mississippiensis (American alligator), 1414 nucleotides. RefSeq lists it as uncharacterized. The record is from RefSeq and is a predicted model, not a curated record. The transcript is spliced from 3 exons. NCBI's taxonomy places the organism in Eukaryota, Metazoa, Chordata, Crocodylia, Alligatoridae.
CAGCGUUUCCCUUUAGCAAGGCGAUCUUUGCUGCAACUUUCUCCAAGUCGUAUGCAGUGAUUCAUUCAGCUCCUUGCAAUAAACCAACAGCUGAGGAUCUCAAAGCGUUUUGCGAAUGUGAAUAAUCUCAGGAAUUAAGCCCAAAGCACCGAUGAGAAGAAAUGCAAUAUUAUCAUCUCCAUGUUUUCGACUUUACAACACUUGAUCCGAUGCCAUGCCAUGCCAGUGAACACGUUCACUGCAUCGCCCAUCUCCCUGGAGAACAUCUGUCCAGGCUUCCUUGGACACUUUCUUUAAGAAAGCAGACGAGACUCCAGAAAAACCUGCAGCCAAGACUCCUGAGAAGACUCCAGCCAAGACCCUUCAAAAAGUCCAACCAAGAGCCCUUCAAAAACUCCAGCAAAGUCACCUCAAAGAAGUCCUUCCAAAUCAAUAUGAUUUGCUUAUUACAAUAUAAAUACAAUAAUGUAUUGUAUUUAUAUAAUAUACCUACAAUGUAACUAUAUUACUCAUCUAUAAUUGAUUGAGUACAAAAUUCUGGGGUAUUUUUGGUGAAAAUACAGUAUUGGGCCUUGGUUCAGGAACCAAUCCCCCAUUUAUAACAUGGUUUCCGAUGGGAAAAUCAGUUCCGAGUUACAACAUUUUGACUUAAGACGUGGUUUUCAGGAACCAAUUGUGGUGUAAGUCCAAAGACUGCCCGUAUAACAACUCAGAGAAGCAUCUAUAAGAUUCAUAUGAUGUAAAAUAUUAGGUCUCCUCGCAUUAUUUCAGUAUCCAGAGAGUGGAAAUAAGAGUACGUCUAGCUAUAGGACUUCAACAAACUCUUGUCUUUUGACAGUGGUAGCUCUGGUAGUGUCUGUGAUGUAAUCUUUUUAUGUAAUCUUUUUUAUGGUAUAUCUAGCUUUUGCAAACUAUAUCUAACUGAAUACUUAAGGCAACUUCCUGGUGCUGGGAGGGGUGUGGUAUGUGUGUGUUAAGAGAUGCUUGCAGAGCACAGCGUGUGGGAUGCGGAGGAUAACUGGAAUGCCUCCCUAACACCAGCAGGAUAAUGUCUCCCUGACACCUGUAAGAUAGCAAGAAGUUCAGAAAAAGGUCUCAUUAUAAUGCUAAAAAUCACACCCCUGGGCAGAGCAAAAGUAUGUUAAUGAAACAUAUAUGUAUGUAAAUGAAAUACAUGGCUCAAACAUAGGUAUAGAAACAUGCUCAGUAGCGAACGUCUUAUGUCAGUGGCUUGUAACCAAUCACUGAGCGAUACACUUGAAAACGUACAUAUAAAAGGUACCCAAAGGUAGAAACCGGGGUGCUUGUUUUGCGAACAAUCGCCAAGCACCCCUCUCUGCGCAGACUUGAAACAACAAAGAUUAAGUUGGAUCCUCCACCCCUGUGUGUUUAUUGGCAAAAGCGCACCCGGCAC